AGCUUGUUGACAUUUAAUAACAGGUAAAUCCUGCCCGGUGCUUUUAGUUAACGGCCGCGGUACUCUGACCGUGCAAAGGUAGCAUAAUCAUUUGCCUUUUUAUUGGGGGCUGGCAUGAAUGGAAUGACGUAAUUUAAGCUGUCUUUUUUUUAAAAUUGAAAUUUGCUGUUUUUGUGAAGAAGCAAAAAUGUAAAAAAAAGACAAGAAGACCCUAUUAAGCUUUACUCGAAAGUUUUAAUAUGUUGUACUUAUGGUUUGUAUUAAAUAAUUAUUAAAUGAAGAGUUUGGUUGGGGUGACCAAAGAAGAAAAAGAUCUUCUUUUAUUUUAUUAGACUUUUGAGUCUAAAUAUAAUUAAGUGGGCCAGAAUUUUCUGAUAAAAAGAACAAGUUACUAUAGGGAUAACAGCGUAAUUUUUUCAGAGAGUUCAUAUUGAAGAAAAAGAUUGCGACCUCGAUGUUGACUUGUUGUCUCCUCUUAUAAUUCUAUGUAGGUG
Molecule: ribosomal RNA, 494 nt
Filed under: Micrura callima
Lineage: Eukaryota; Metazoa; Nemertea; Pilidiophora; Heteronemertea; Lineidae
Description: partial large subunit ribosomal RNA
Rfam family: Bacterial large subunit ribosomal RNA
Source: RNAcentral